AGCUCUAUACCAAUUACAAAUGGCAGCUGCAGAUAAUCGUGACUGCGCAGAUGCUAGCGGAGAUUCAAUAUGUCUUUCAGUGAAACCUCGUCGUAUUUUACUGUUCAGUGGAAAAAGAAAGUCCGGCAAGGAUUACAUUACUGACAUUUUACAGCAAAGAUUAAACCAUUUGCCGUGCGUGACGAUAAAGAUUUCUGGACCUAUAAAAAUUCAUUGGGCCAAAAGUUUGAACCUAGAUUUCAAAGAAUUACUUGGAGAUGGAGAAUACAAAGAGAAAUACAGGGGACAGAUGAUUGCAUGGGGUGAAAAUAUGAGGAACAAAGAUAUUGGCUACUUUUGUCGUGCUGCUAUCGAUAUGUAUAAUGCUCGUAAUAUACCCAUAUGGAUAGUCAGUGACAUAAGACGGAAAACUGAUAUUCAAUGGUUCGUUGAAAAUUUUGGCAGCGCUUGUAAAACUGUAAGAAUUAUUGCUGAUGAUGAAAUCAGGACAAAACGAGGAUGGAUCUUCACACCAGGUAUAGACGAUGCAGAGUCUGAAUGUGAUUUAGACACCAUGAAUAAGUGGGACUUGAAAGUUUACAACAAUGAUGACAAUAUUGAUGAUAUUUUGGACACUAUCAUCAGUCUGAUAAAUUGAUCUAGUUUUACAAUUGAUAAAAUGUCGAAAUACAAUCAAGAAGCUGGCUUAAAAGGACUAGGAAAACAAAAACUGCAGUCAUUAACCUGUCUUGCCAGAACAAACGUCUGAUCAUAAGUCUGCAAAUUUUAAAGUGAAAUAUGUCAUAAUAAGUGUAUAUAUAUUAAUUCUGUAAAAAUAUUUAUUUUUACAUUGGUAUAUAAAUUGUGGUUUAAUUUCAAAAUGGACAAUUGAAAGGCAGAUAGUCUGUUGCGGAAUCAGUAAGAUGAACUUCUACAACUAAAAAAAAUUUCAUUGAAAAAGUACAUCCACCACUCACCGGAGACUGAUGAUUAAGUAGAAUUAUUUGAUUCCUAAAUAGUAUUGCCCAGAAGCACUGCUCAUUACUUUGGCUGUCCACUGGGAGAUGCCCCUUUACGUUUGAUACUGGUUCCUCUUUGCUCUUGUGGUUUCUGAAUGAGUUUUUGGGUUCAAUAUUUAGAAGUGUUGCAUCUAUUCUAUCAACCCUGCUGUGCAACUGUUAUACUUCUUGGUGACGUUAUUAUUUCGGAACAUUAGAAACGAAGUUCAUAGCACGGUGCUAUUUGCAAUUUUUCAAUGGCCCAACUUUUUAUUGUGAAAUCAUUGAAAUCAAGUGAAAAUCUAUGCUAAUUGUUGCUAAGUAACCUCCUUAUUAACGUGUGAUAGAACACGCGCAAUUUAAUUGAACACACCCAAAUCAUGGGACUAUGCAUGGAACCUAGAAGACUAUGUAUGUAUUAAUAAGUUAUCAAUAAAUUAUCUGUCAUAGAGUUGUAUGUAAUUCACGAUCUAUGAUUAAGGAAAUUAUUAGAGGAGCAACUUACCACUUGUGACUCAUGAAAAGUUAUACACUUGACUGUACGGAAGGUUAAAAAUGAAAUUUCUAUUUUACAAAUAAUAGUCACGGUCUUACAUUUGAUAUCUGAAGACAAACAGAAUGAAACCACUGAGCAAUUAUAUUUGAAAUUGGUUGUUGAUGCCAGAUAAACAACAGAUAAUUGUAUUUAAUACCUUGGCAGAUUAUAAAGCAAGCGUAUACGUAUGUAAAAACAUUUACGCAUUUUUAUUAACAUUUUUUACAUUUUUUCAUGUCUUCCCUUUCAUUUCUCCUUCUGUAUCUGUUUAAAUAGUUACAUUACAAUGUUUUUGUGAAAUUUUUCAUACAACUGUGUGUAUCAUUGAUAAACAGCAAUCUGUGCAGUCUGUUCGCAGAAUUAAUGCGCACUUAACUUUGAAAUUUUCAUUCCAUAAACGGUCAUUUUUAUAUUUUAUCAUAUAAUAUAUAAAUAUCGGACCUUCGUUUUUAACCGUGUGAUUAUUAACUUUAAAAAUUUUUCCUAUUCCUUUAUUUCUUCACUUCCGAGUUCCAACUGACAACAGAUAUUUGGUUGCAUGCUUAAUUCCAACAAUUAUAUCUUGACGCAAGAAAAUAUAAAUACAAUAGAUUAGUUUCAAUACAACUGUCACAGUCUUAUUUUAUAGACAUGUUUUUUAUCUUUUGUCAAGUCAGACUGUAACUUUCAAUCUGUAAUAUUAUGAUACAACGUUAACAUCAGAGAGGUUUUUGCCUAUUGGUUAUUUAAUUCAAUUUUUCCAAUUCAUUGCCCAAUCUUUGAGAUUGUGUAAUGAUUAUAGUGAAUUUUUAUUAUCUGUUAUAGUGUAGACAUGCAUUACGAAAUUCAAGUAAUUAAAUUUUACAAUAUGAUGGUUGUUCAACAAGAAAUAAUACAACACGAAAUUGUCAACCUGUCUGGUGUUGACGUUUAGCGUCAAUUUGAAUCAUGCAAAGUGUGCUCGAUUCAAUUAUGCAGUUAUUUUGAGUUCCUAUAGGCAUAAAGUAGCGGUUGAAUUUCAUCUCAGCCAAAGCUUUAAUCGCAAGGCAUCUACACCGUUUAAAUAAUAUCGAAAUAAUCGUUUGUCUCGAACGAAACCUAAAUUUUCGUACAAUCGAAGCGCUGGUCGAUUGGUUAUUUCCGUUUCUAAAACUACUUCGUCAGCGUCAUCAGCUACCAUUGCUUGAAUCGCUCGUCUCACAAGAUUGGAACCAAUUUUACGCUUACGGUAUUUCACAUCUACCGCAAGCAUUGCAAUGUAUCCGCGCUUUAUCACUUUUCUGUGGACAUCAAGCUUGCAAACAAUUGCUCCAACACACUCCUCUUCGUGCAUAGCCUUUGAAAAGAAAGAAAACACGGAACCAUUAUGUCACCGAUGAAAAUUAUUCAACUUUUGUAGAUAGUAAAAUGUAAUGUUAUAAUAAAUUUCAAAUUAAA
Molecule: RNA transcript, 2928 nt
Organism: Neodiprion fabricii
Lineage: Eukaryota; Metazoa; Arthropoda; Insecta; Hymenoptera; Diprionidae
Gene: Pmvk
Gene name: phosphomevalonate kinase
Exons: 6
Source: RefSeq, a predicted model, not a curated record